CGGGAUGUUGGCUUAGAAGCAGCCACCAUUUAAAAAGUGCGUAACAGCUUACUGGUCGAGCAAUUUCGCGCCCAUAAUGAUCGGGAGUAAGUAUCAUACCGAAGCAGUGGAAUCGUAAGAUUGGUAGGUGAGCGCUGUACAUCAGAUACGAGCUAUACGGAAACGAAUAGUGGUGGGAUGUACAGGUGAUUAUGCCGGAAUGAGUAACGAUAAAACAGGUGAGAAUCCUGUUCGCCGAAAGCCUAAGGUUUCCUGGGGAAGGGAAAUCCGCCCAGGGUUAGCCGGUACCUUAGUCGAGGCCGAAAGGCGUAGACGAUGGAUAGCAGGUCAAUAUUCCUGCGCCGGAUGUGUGAAUCGAUGGAGGGACGGCGCUUCGAUAGUGAGCGGUACGACUAGAAAUGUCCGUGGAGUAUUUUUAGGCGAGGGAUAGGCAAAUCCGCCCUCAUCAGCCAAGGAAUAAGCCCGAGAGCACUUAAGUUCUCGAAGUCACUUGAAGAGCGUCCAAGAAAAUCUUCUAAGAGUUAAAGCACAUUCGACCGUACUAAAACUGACACAGGUAGGC
RNAcentral lists this ribosomal RNA (562 nucleotides) under Prymnesium parvum. RNAcentral's name for it is "partial Bacterial large subunit ribosomal RNA". It matches the Rfam family "Bacterial large subunit ribosomal RNA", at positions 1094 to 1668 of the family's 2925-position model. The record is from RNAcentral. Lineage: Eukaryota; Haptophyta; Prymnesiales; Prymnesiaceae.